AUUGAACGCUGGCGGCAGGCCUAACACAUGCAAGUCGAACGGUAGCACAGAGAGCUUGCUCUCGGGUGACGAGUGGCGGACGGGUGAGUAAUGUCUGGGAAACUGCCCGAUGGAGGGGGAUAACUACUGGAAACGGUAGCUAAUACCGCAUAACGUCGCAAGACCAAAGAGGGGGACCUUAGGGCCUCUUGCCAUCGGAUGUGCCCAGAUGGGAUUAGCUUGUAGGUGAGGUAACGGCUCACCUAGGCGACGAUCCCUAGCUGGUCUGAGAGGAUGACCAGCCACACUGGAACUGAGACACGGUCCAGACUCCUACGGGAGGCAGCAGUGGGGAAUAUUGCACAAUGGGCGCAAGCCUGAUGCAGCCAUGCCGCGUGUAUGAAGAAGGCCUUCGGGUUGUAAAGUACUUUCAGCGGGGAGGAAGGGAGUGAGGUUAAUAACCUCAUUCAUUGACGUUACCCGCAGAAGAAGCACCGGCUAACUCCGUGCCAGCAGCCGCGGUAAUACGGAGGGUGCGAGCGUUAAUCGGAAUUACUGGGCGUAAAGCGCACGCAGGCGGUCUGUCAAGUCGGAUGUGAAAUCCCCGGGCUCACCCUGGGAACUGCAUUCGAAACUGGCAGGCUGGAGUCUUGUAGAGGGGGGUAGAAUUCCAGGUGUAGCGGUGAAAUGCGUAGAGAUCUGGAGGAAUACCGGUGGCGAAGGCGGCCCCCUGGACGAAGACUGACGCUCAGGUGCGAAAGCGUGGGGAGCAAACAGGAUUAGAUACCCUGGUAGUCCACGCUGUAAACGAUGUCGACUUGGAGGUUGUUCCCUUGAGGAGUGGCUUCCGGAGCUAACGCGUUAAGUCGACCGCCUGGGGAGUACGGCCGCAAGGUUAAAACUCAAAUGAAUUGACGGGGGCCCGCACAAGCGGUGGAGCAUGUGGUUUAAUUCGAUGCAACGCGAAGAACCUUACCUACUCUUGACAUCCAGAGAACUUAGCAGAGAUGCUUUGGUGCCUUCGGGGACUCUGAGACAGGUGCUGCAUGGCUGUCGUCAGCUCGUGUUGUGAAAUGUUGGGUUAAGUCCCGCAACGAGCGCAACCCUUAUCCUUUGUUGCCAGCGAUUCGGUCGGGAACUCAAAGGAGACUGCCAGUGAUAAACUGGAGGAAGGUGGGGAUGACGUCAAGUCAUCAUGGCCCUUACGAGUAGGGCUACACACGUGCUACAAUGGCAUAUACAAAGAGAAGCGACCUCGCGAGAGCAAGCGGACCUCAUAAAGUAUGUCGUAGUCCGGAUUGGAGUCUGCAACUCGACUCCAUGAAGUCGGAAUCGCUAGUAAUCGUGGAUCAGAAUGCCACGGUGAAUACGUUCCCGGGCCU
Molecule: ribosomal RNA, 1361 nt
Filed under: uncultured bacterium
Lineage: Bacteria
Description: bacterial SSU rRNA
Rfam family: Bacterial small subunit ribosomal RNA
Source: RNAcentral